CACGCACAAACCUCGCGCCUCUUUACUUCGUGCUUGACGAAACCCUCGCACUGUGUUGGUACUCGUUCCUCUUCAGAAUCUCAUUAUUCCUUUUACAAUUACCAUGGAUGUAUUUGCAGGUAUGCAAAUUUCGAAGACAACUAUCAGCCCAAGACUGAUUUGCUCAAAGCAGUUGCGAUAUUUGCGGCGGCUGCAACUGGGACGGUAGCAAUUAACCAUUCUUGGGUGGCUGCUAAUCAGGUUCCAAAUUCAUUAAUUUCCCUUGUGACAGUGAUAUUGAGAAAAGGUGAGGAUGAUAUAACUCAGUUGUAUGCAUUGAGAACAGUUGAGAAUAUUUGCAGCCAAGGAGGGGUAUGGGUUUCGUGUUCCACAUUUGUUCUGGAUUAGACUCUGAAGUUUGAUUCUUUGGUCAAGCUUCAUAUGUGGAUUUGCUGGCUUAGAGAUUUGAAUUUGGACGGUUAUAGGGAAAGACAAAUUUGUUGAUUAUAGGGUGAGAUAAUUGUAUCUGUGACAAAUAUUGAGCGGAAAAGGAUGAUAAGAAUUUAGGGAAUGCCAACGGGAAUCAUAGGAUGAUUCCUAACUUCUGCUAGUUAGUCAAGCGAUCAGUUAGUUACAUUUACUAACACCCUGUAGGCAAAGACAAAUUUGUUGAUUAUAGGGUGAGGUAAUUGGAUCUGUGACAAAUAUUGAGCAGAAAAGGAUGAUAAGGAUUUAGUGAAUGCCAACGGGAAUCGUAGGAUGAUUCAUAACUUCUGCUAGUUAGUAAAGCGGUCAGUUAGUUACAUUUACUAACACCCUGUUACAACAUUGCUAUGUGUAGUUAAGUUUGUAUCCAUGUUCCUUUGCUGCCUUUUAUAUAGGAUAUAAAAUAGACUUUUGUAAAAGAAAUCAUUCUGCUAAUUAGUUCUUUUACAAAUCUCAAUAUGAAAACCAGGAGCCAAGUUUGUGUCAAUGUAUUUGUGCUCAUAGGUUUAAAUGGAAACCAGGAGCAACUCAUCUGAAUAUAUUGGUAAUAGGUUAUGAACCACUGCUUUUUUGGUUAGAUAUUCUGGAAUGGGAGAAACUGAUGCAAUUGAAAAGGGGGAAAAGAAAAGAACGUGAAUUGCUUAAUUUCUUAAGGAGUGGCAAUAACCUUGCAUGAUUAAAUAAUUUUGGUGACUCUGGAUAAUGGAAAUUACCCAAUCUUCUUAUUCCAACACUUCAAUGAAACUAAAUUGUGUUUAUUGGA
Molecule: long non-coding RNA, 1228 nt
Organism: Vicia villosa (hairy vetch)
Lineage: Eukaryota; Viridiplantae; Streptophyta; Magnoliopsida; Fabales; Fabaceae
Exons: 3
Source: RefSeq, a predicted model, not a curated record